Molecule: long non-coding RNA, 1570 nt
Filed under: Callithrix jacchus (white-tufted-ear marmoset)
Lineage: Eukaryota; Metazoa; Chordata; Mammalia; Primates; Cebidae
Description: lncRNA (ENSCJAG00000054737.2)
Source: RNAcentral
AUGGGGCCACACUGCCCGGAUGCCUCUGCCAGGCUGAGAAACACGCUGAGCCCUGGUUCCCAUAAAUUCGGCUUUUAUGUGGCUGUGAAUAGGAGUGAACAAUGGAUCUAUUGCAGGCUGCACAGAACUGGCCCAGCCUGGGUUUCCCUCCCGCAGUUAGGAGCCUUGGCAUGGCAGCGUUCUGGAGCCCCCGGCCUGUCUGUAAGCCUCCUAAACACCAGCGCCUGCUUGAAUUUGGGGGAGGAGAUUCCACCAUCCCCUGGGGUCUGUUGCGGGCAACCCAGACGGUGGUUACUGCAGAUUCCCAUGGCUGUGGCUCAGGCUUGGCCACACAGCUUUGGGUUGUGUCUUCCAGUUUCCCUCAGCCCCCUUCCAACUGUGGCUCCCGCUGUUCAAGCCCUUCCCCUCCUGCGGAAGCCAGCCCACCCCUGCAGGCAUUUGGGCAUCAUACCCAGUCAGAACCCUCACUCUGGGAGAGGCCAGUGACCCGGACGGGAGCUUCCCUAUGGAGAGGACGUGUGGCAAGGAGGGAUCUGAAUCCUGGUGACAGCCAUUAGGGAUCUGAAUCCCGGUGACAGCCAGGCAGGUGAGUCAAGUGGCUUUUUCCCCGGUUGUGCCUUUGGGUGACUGUCCUCUAGCCGAUAACUUGCAAGAGACACUGAGUCAGAAGAACCGGCGGUCCUGUGCCUGGAUUCCUGGCUCACUCGUGAAAUGGUAAACACUUGUUAUUUGGGGUCUGUUACGCUGAGCCAAUGUGCUUUGUCACUGGGAAUAGGUGAAUAAUGCAGCACUGUCUCUUUCCCUCCCGGACCUUCUCUGUUGAACUGUUGCUGUCUCACACUGAGUUUCCUUUCCUCUUCCUGCCAACACAGCCGUAUUGAUUUGGGUUAAAUCAAUACUCAUGCCUCGUGGGAUCAGGACCAUGUAAGUACCAUAUAACCCUGAGCCAGGCGGUGCCUUCUAGUGGUAUUUCUUUCUCUGCACAUUUUUAUUUUCCUGGAGUUAGUUAUUGCCUUGCUUUUAUUUAAAAAGAAACAAAACGUUAGCUUUCCACAUGCCUAUGUAUAUUCCAAAUGUUCUAACGGAAUUCUCAAAUGCUGGCAACACAUUUUCAAAUGCUCAGAUGCACCAGACAAUCCCGUUUCCAUUUUCCUUUUCUCCUGGCACUUUCCCUCUUUGGACCUUCGCCCCUUGCUCUGGAGUCUUGGUUCUCUGGACCCGAGGUGCACCUGCCGCUAUGGGGGAUGCCUUUCACCCCUCUUCUGAGUUGCACAAGCUGUUUUCUGUAUCCCAGGGUUUCCCUGUACACGGUGUCACCCAAACACUGUAGAAUCUUAGGAAAAAGACAUGGAAAUAAAAUGUUGACUCCUGGUAGGUCUGAAAAUACCCUUUUCACUCCUAAUGGUUGACGGGUCGCUUUUUAGGUGUGACAUUCUAGGUUACCCCGAAGUACUCGGGGUAUCUUGCCAUAUGUUGCAGCUUCCAGAGUGACCCUAGAGGGGCCGGAUGCCUUCUGAGGUCCUGUGCUUUCUAUGCAAUCUGCCCUUGCACACCUGUAGGCUUUUAUUUG